Small nuclear RNA from Camelus dromedarius (Arabian camel), 119 nucleotides. The record is from Ensembl. NCBI's taxonomy places the organism in Eukaryota, Metazoa, Chordata, Mammalia, Artiodactyla, Camelidae.
AAAAAGUGGCACACGGAGGGCAGCCUGAUUGCUCUGUGUGCGGAAUCACCAUCAAGAGAUUUUGGAGGCAUAAUUUUUUGGCAUUUGGGCAGCUGCGGAUCACUGGUCCUGGCACCUCU